GUGAUUGCAGUGCACCUGCAGUGCCACCUCAGCUGAAUGCAGUGUUGCUGCCGUGGUUGCAGAGCCCACUGCCGUUUCUGUAAAUGUGGAUGCAGGGCCCAUGCAGCCUCUGCAGUGUGACCCAAGUUGGAUGCAGUAUGUUGUGAAGUAGGAUGCAGUACCCAUGAAGGAGGAUGCAGUGAUCCUGCAUUCAUUCCAGUGCACCUGCAGUGUCAAUUCAUCUGGAGGCAGUGUCGCUGAAUGUGGAUUCACUGCUCAUUCAGUGAUGAUGUAUGUUGUCAUGGAGGAUGCAGUGCCCAUGAAGGCAGAUGCAGUGAUCCUGCAGUGAUUGCAGUGCAUCUGCUGUGCCACUUCUUGUGGAUCCAGUGUCCCUGCAGUGGUUGCAGUGCCUGCUGCAGUUUCCCAAAACGUGGAUGCAGUGCACAUGCAAUGGCUGCAGUUUCACAGAAGUUAGAUGCAGUAUGUUGUAUUGGAGGAAGCAGUGCCCAUGAAGGUGCAUGCAGUGAUCCUGCAGUGGUUGCAGUGUCCCCUGCAGCAUCCCUGAAUGAGAAUUCCGUGCCCUUGCAGUGGAUUCAGUGCCCCACAAGUUGUAUGCAGUAUGUUAUGACGGAUGAUGCAUUGCCCAUGAUGGAGGGUGCAGAGAUUCUGCAGUGAUUGCAGUGCACCUGCAGUGCCACUUCAUCUGGCUGCAGUGUGCCUGCAGUGGUUGCAAUGCCGCCUUCUGUCUCUCCAAAUACGAAUGCAGUGCCCUUGCAGUGGAUGCAGUGUACCAAAAGAUGGAUGUGGUAUGUUGUGACUGAGGAUGCAGUGCCCAUGAAUGUGGAUGAAGUGAUCCUGCAGUGGCUGCAGUGCACAUGCAGUGCCACUUAAGCUGGAUGCAGUGUCCCUGCAGUCGCUGCAGUGCAACCUGCACUCUCCAUGUAUGUGCAUUCAGUGCUCAUGCAGUGAGGAAGUAUGUUGUGAUGAAGGAUGCAGUGCCCGUGAAGGCAGAUGCAGUGAUCCUGCAGAGAUUGCAGUGCACCUGCAGUGACACUUCAGCUGGAUCCAGAGUCCGUGCAGUGGUUGCAGUGCCUGUUGCCCUGUGCCUGAAUGUGGAGGCAGUACCCAUGAAAUGGCUGCAGUGUCACUGAAGGUAGAUGCAGUAUGUUGUGAUGGAGGAUGCAGUGCCCACGAAGGUGGACCCAGUUAUCCUGCAGUGGUUGAAGUGAACCCUGCAGGGUCCCUGAAUGAGAACGCCAUGCCCUUGCAGUGGAUUCAGUGCCCCACAAGGUGGAUGCAGUAUGUUAUGACGGAUGAUGCAUUGCCCAUGAAGGAGGAUGCAGUGUUUCUGCAGUGAUUGCAGUGCACCUGCAGUGCCACUUCAGCUGGCUGCAGUGUUCCUGUGGGGGUUGCUGUGCCCCCAUCUUUGUCUCUGAAUAUGAAUGCAGUGUCAAUUCAGUGGAUGCAGAAUACCAAAAGAUGGAUAUUGCAUGUUGAGACAGAGGAUGCAGUGCCCAUGAAUGUGGAUGCAGUGAUUCUGCAGGGGUUACAGUGCGCAUGCAGUGCCACUUCAGUUACAGUCGCUGCAGUGCAACCUGCACUGUCACUUAUUUUGAAUGCAGUGCUCAUGCAGUGAUCAAGAAUGUUGUGAUGGAGGAUGCAGUGCCAUGAAGGCAGAUGCAGUAAUCCUGCAGUGAUUGAAGUGCGCCAGCAGUGCCACUUCAGAUGGAUCCAGAGUCCCUGUAGUUGUUGCAGUGCCUGUUGCACUGUCCAUGAAUGUGGCAGCAGUGCCCAUGCAAUGGCUGCCGUGUCACUGAAGGUAGAUGCAGUAUGUUGUGACGGAGGUUGGAGUGCCCAUGGAAGUGGAUGCAGUGAUCCUGCAGUGGUGGUAGUGCCCCCUGCAGCAUCCCUGAAUGAGAAUGCCGUGCCCUUGCAUUGGAUUUACUGCCCAACAAGGUGGAUGCAGUAUGUUAUGAUGGAUAAUGCAUUGCCCAUGAAGGUGGAUGCAGUGUUCUUGCGUUGGCUGUCUUGCCAACUUCUGUGUCCCUGAUUGUGGAUGCAGUGACCAUGCAGUGGAUGCAGUGUCCCACAAGGCAGAUGCAGUAUGCUGUAAUGGAGGAUGCAGUGCCCAUGAACUUGGAUGUGGUGAUUCUGCAGUUGUUGCAGUGUCCCCUUCAGGGUCCCUGAAUGUGGGUGCAGUGCCCAUGCAGUGGAUGCAGUGUCGCAUAAGUGGAUGCAGUAUGUUGUGACGGAAGAUGCAGUGCCCACGACUGUGAAAGCAUUGAGAUUCAGUGAUUGCAGUGCACCUGCAGUGCCACUUCAACUGUAUACUGUGUCCCUGCAGUGGUUGCAGUGCUGCCUGCAUUGUCCAGACAUGCUGAUGCAGUGCCCAAGCAGUGGAUGCAGUGUCACACAAGUUCAAUGAAGUAUGUUGUUACAGAGGAUGCAGUGCCCCUGAAGGUGGAUGCAGUGAUCCUGCAGUGGUUGCAGUGCCCCCUUCAGGAUCCAUGAAUGUGGAUGCAGGGCCCAUACAAUGGCUGCAGUGUCACUGAAGGUAGAUUUCGUAUGUUAUGCUGGAUGAUGCAUUCCCCAUGAAGGUGGAUGAGGUGAUCCUGCAGUUGUUGCAGUGCCCCCUUCAGGUUCACUGAAUGUGGAUGCAGUGCCCAUAAAGUGGAUGCAGUGUCGCACAAGCUGGAUGCAAUAUGUUGUGAUGGAGGAUGCAGGGCUCAUGAUUGUGAAUGCAGAGAGACUGCAGUGAUGGCAGUGCGCCUGAAGUGCCACUUCAACUGUAUACAGUGUCCCUGCAGUGGUUGCAGUGCUGCCUGCAUUAUCCGGGAAUGCAGAUGCAGUG
This is a long non-coding RNA of Equus caballus (horse), 2830 nucleotides long. The record is from Ensembl. Lineage: Eukaryota; Metazoa; Chordata; Mammalia; Perissodactyla; Equidae.